CUCUCAGAUUUACGCAAACACCAAACUCUUUCUCCCUUCUUGAUUCAAGGUCUCUAUACUUCAAUUAUGUUCAUCGUUUUUCUCUCUUAACUCCAAAAACUCAUCAAUUCUUCGUCUUCUUUAUCUAGUCUCAUGAAUUUAUUAUGUUUACUUUUAUUUUAAAGAGUCUCAAAUUAGUGAGAAGUUGCAAGAAUCAAAAAAGAAGGAUGGAAUCACAGCAGAGAAAGAAGAAGUAUGGAAUAAUUGCAUGAAAUAAUAGUACCAUCCCAUCCUUGCAGAAUUGAUUCUCUUCAGAGAUUCUUUGAGAUUAUACAUGACUGGCAAAAGCAGUUUGAAUCGAUGCAGAGUUGGAAUUGAUGAAUGAGUUUGCACCUUAUUUAACGACAUGGUGUUGGAACCAAUGAAGGUUGCUACGUCGGUGGUGGUGGAGAACUCUAUUUGAAACAUUCAAAAUAGGCUGGUAUUUAUGUGUGUCUAACAUAAUACAAUAAAAGAAAUGGAUGAGGAAAUGUACUAUAAUUUGGAGACAUGAUACAGCUAAGGAAUUAGAGACAAGUUUGUGGAGGUAUCUGAUGUUGUAAAAGCUAAGGUGAAUGGUCUUUUUUCUAAGGUAAUGGCCCUGUGAAUUGACUUGAUUGAUCAACUUAG
This is a long non-coding RNA of Lathyrus oleraceus (garden pea), 648 nucleotides long. RefSeq lists it as uncharacterized. The transcript has 3 exons. NCBI's taxonomy places the organism in Eukaryota, Viridiplantae, Streptophyta, Magnoliopsida, Fabales, Fabaceae. The record is from RefSeq and is a predicted model, not a curated record.